RNAcentral lists this ribosomal RNA (417 nucleotides) under uncultured bacterium. RNAcentral's name for it is "bacterial SSU rRNA". It matches the Rfam family "Bacterial small subunit ribosomal RNA", at positions 356 to 773 of the family's 1533-position model. The record is from RNAcentral.
GGGGGAUAUUGCACAAUGGGCGCAAGCCUGAUGCAGCGACGCCGCGUGAGGGAUGACGGCUUUCGGGUUGUAAACCUCUUUCGCUACCGAACAAGGCCCUGUAUUGGCAGGGUUGAGGGUAGGUGGAUAAGAAGCGCCGGCUAACUACGUGCCAGCAGCCGCGGUAAUACGUAGGGCGCGAGCGUUGUCCGGAAUUAUUGGGCGUAAAGAGCUCGUAGGCGGCUUGUCGCGUCUGCUGUGAAAACGCGGGGCUUAACUCCGCGCGUGCAGUGGGUACGGGCAGGCUAGAGUGUGGUAGGGGUGACUGGAAUUCCUGGUGUAGCGGUGGAAUGCGCAGAUAUCAGGAGGAACACCGAUGGCGAAGGCAGGUCACUGGGCCAUUACUGACGCUGAGGAGCGAAAGCAUGGGGAGCGAAC